GGGGUUGUGGCCUAAUGGUAAGGCGUUGGUUUUCGGUAGUAUUAUUAGGAAUCCACCAAAGAUUGCAGGUUCGAGUCCUGUCAGCCUCG
Terfezia boudieri ATCC MYA-4762 is the source of this 89-nucleotide non-coding RNA. NCBI's taxonomy places the organism in Eukaryota, Fungi, Ascomycota, Pezizomycetes, Pezizales, Pezizaceae. The record is from the annotation of a GenBank genome assembly.